GAUGGACGCUGGCGGCGUGCCUAAUACAUGCAAGUCGAGCGAACGGACGAGAAGCUUGCUUCUCUGAUGUUAGCGGCGGACGGGUGAGUAACACGUGGAUAACCUACCUAUAAGACUGGGAUAACUUCGGGAAACCGGAGCUAAUACCGGAUAAUAUUUUGAACCGCAUGGUUCAAAAGUGAAAGACGGUCUUGCUGUCACUUAUAGAUGGAUCCGCGCUGCAUUAGCUAGUUGGUAAGGUAACGGCUUACCAAGGCAACGAUGCAUAGCCGACCUGAGAGGGUGAUCGGCCACACUGGAACUGAGACACGGUCCAGACUCCUACGGGAGGCAGCAGUAGGGAAUCUUCCGCAAUGGGCGAAAGCCUGACGGAGCAACGCCGCGUGAGUGAUGAAGGUCUUCGGAUCGUAAAACUCUGUUAUUAGGGAAGAACAUAUGUGUAAGUAACUGUGCACAUCUUGACGGUACCUAAUCAGAAAGCCACGGCUAACUACGUGCCAGCAGCCGCGGUAAUACGUAGGUGGCAAGCGUUAUCCGGAAUUAUUGGGCGUAAAGCGCGCGUAGGCGGUUUUUUAAGUCUGAUGUGAAAGCCCACGGCUCAACCGUGGAGGGUCAUUGGAAACUGGAAAACUUGAGUGCAGAAGAGGAAAGUGGAAUUCCAUGUGUAGCGGUGAAAUGCGCAGAGAUAUGGAGGAACACCAGUGGCGAAGGCGACUUUCUGGUCUGUAACUGACGCUGAUGUGCGAAAGCGUGGGGAUCAAACAGGAUUAGAUACCCUGGUAGUCCACGCCGUAAACGAUGAGUGCUAAGUGUUAGGGGGUUUCCGCCCCUUAGUGCUGCAGCUAACGCAUUAAGCACUCCGCCUGGGGAGUACGACCGCAAGGUUGAAACUCAAAGGAAUUGACGGGGACCCGCACAAGCGGUGGAGCAUGUGGUUUAAUUCGAAGCAACGCGAAGAACCUUACCAAAUCUUGACAUCCUUUGACAACUCUAGAGAUAGAGCCUUCCCCUUCGGGGGACAAAGUGACAGGUGGUGCAUGGUUGUCGUCAGCUCGUGUCGUGAGAUGUUGGGUUAAGUCCCGCAACGAGCGCAACCCUUAAGCUUAGUUGCCAUCAUUAAGUUGGGCACUCUAAGUUGACUGCCGGUGACAAACCGGAGGAAGGUGGGGAUGACGUCAAAUCAUCAUGCCCCUUAUGAUUUGGGCUACACACGUGCUACAAUGGACAAUACAAAGGGCAGCGAAACCGCGAGGUCAAGCAAAUCCCAUAAAGUUGUUCUCAGUUCGGAUUGUAGUCUGCAACUCGACUACAUGAAGCUGGAAUCGCUAGUAAUCGUAGAUCGGCAUGCUACGGUGAAUACGUUCCCGGGUCU
This 1372-nucleotide ribosomal RNA is filed under the name uncultured bacterium. RNAcentral's name for it is "bacterial SSU rRNA". It matches the Rfam family "Bacterial small subunit ribosomal RNA", at positions 28 to 1381 of the family's 1533-position model. The record is from RNAcentral.